GACGAACGUUGGCGGCGUGCUUAAUACAUGCAAGUCGACUGAAGCAGCGGUAGCAAUAUCGCUGUGGAGGUGGCGCACGGGUGAGUAACACGUAGGUAAUCUGCCUUCAGGUCUGGCAUAACUCCGGGAAACCGGGGCUAAUAGCAGAUGAUGCAGCGGCUCGACAUCGAGACGGUUGUUAAAGCUAUGGCGCCUGAAGAUGAGCCUGCGUCUGAUUAGCUAGUUGGCGGGGUAACGGCCCACCAAGGCAACGAUCAGGAGCUGGACUGAGAGGAUGAUCAGCCACAUUAGAAGUGAGACAGGGACCAGAAUACUACGGGGAGCAGCAGUAAGGAAAAUUGCUCAAUGGGAGAAAUCCUGAAGCAGCAACGCAGCGAGAGGGACGAAGGGCUUUUGCUUGUAAACCUCUGUAGUGAGAGAAAAAAAUCCCAAUCUUUGGGACAUGAUGGUAACUCAAAAGUAAGCCCCGGCUAACUACGUG
This 481-nucleotide ribosomal RNA is filed under the name uncultured bacterium. RNAcentral's name for it is "partial 16S ribosomal RNA". It matches the Rfam family "Bacterial small subunit ribosomal RNA", at positions 28 to 507 of the family's 1533-position model. The record is from RNAcentral.